UAAUACGAACUGUGCAAACGUUAUUCGGAAUCACUGGGCUUACAGGGUGCGUAGGUGGUCAGAAAAGUCAGGUGUGAAAUCCCCCAGCUCAACUGGGGAAUGGCGCUUGAAACUCUCUGACUGGAGUGAGCUAGGGGUACUUGGAACUGCCAGUGGAGCGGUGAAAUGUGUUGAUAUUGGCAGGAACACCGGAGCCGAAAGGGAAGUACUGGGGCUUAACUGACACUGAGGCACGAAAGCCAGGGGAGCAAACGGGAUUAGAUACCCCGGUAGUCCUGGCCGUAAACUAUGAGAACUGGGCGGGGGAGGAUUCGUCCAUCCCGGCCGUAGCGAAAGCGUUAAGUUCUCCGCCUGGGGAGUAUGGUCGCAAGGCUG
RNAcentral lists this ribosomal RNA (375 nucleotides) under uncultured bacterium. Its description in RNAcentral is "bacterial SSU rRNA". It matches the Rfam family "Bacterial small subunit ribosomal RNA", at positions 521 to 896 of the family's 1533-position model. The record is from RNAcentral.